CAGUGAAUAAACAAGCAGUUGAAUCUUUCUGCUUAAAAUCUUAGUUGGUGCCUUCUGUAUGAUUAUCAGUUUCUAGCCAAGAUAGUAUUUUAUCCACAUCAGAAAUUUAAGAAAUUGCAAAGCAUCAAACCCAUGUUAUUGCAGAAUUAUCAAUUGUCUGCAUUAUGAAGCCUGCAUUUCAAUAUCUUGAUUAAAAAAAAAAGGUCAAUUAAUAUCAGGAAAGAAGUUUUAUCUUAAUUGGUCAAAAACAUGGCUUUGCAAUCUGGAUAUUUCUUUUGUAUUGACUUUAUUUAACACUCUAUCUGAUAAUUGCAUUAAUUCCAUUGGUCA
RNAcentral lists this long non-coding RNA (330 nucleotides) under Elaeis guineensis (African oil palm). RNAcentral describes it as "long non-coding RNA (EGUI_LNC035740)". Lineage: Eukaryota; Viridiplantae; Streptophyta; Magnoliopsida; Arecales; Arecaceae. The record is from RNAcentral.